GGUUGAUCCUGCCAGUAGUCAUAUGCUCGUCUCAAAGAUUAAGCCAUGCAUGUGUAAGUAUAAGCGAUUGUACUGAAUGACGAACUAGAGCGAACGGCUCAUUAUAUCAAGUCAUAAUUUCUUCGGUAGUUAAUCUUUUAUAUGGAUACCUGCAGUAAUUCUGGGGAUCGAUAGAUGCUGUAAGAUCCCAUCGUAUGGGUCUAGACACUUAUUAGAUUGAUGCCGACUUGCGAUUGUUGGGUGCUUUAUUAUAAUGUGCCUCAGCAGCAUUGCACUAUUUUGAGAAAUCGAUGAAGUCGUUUGAGUUUCUGCCCCAUCAGUUGUCGACGGUAGUGUAUUGGUCGUACGGCUGAAACUAUAACGGAAUUGACGGAGAGUUAGGGCUCGACUCCGGAGAUGGAGCCUGAGAGACGGCUUACCAUAUCCAAUGACUAGCAGCAGGCGGGUAAACUUACCCACUGUGGACUCCAGACAUAGGUAGGAUUGACAGAUUGAGAGCUCUUUCAUGAUUCUAUGCGGUGCGUGGUGCAUGGCCGUUCUUAGCUAUCGGAAUGGAGUGAUUUGUCAAUGGUUAAUUCCGUUAUCGAACGAGAUCAACUCGGCCUAGGGCUAAAUAGUGCGUGGUAUGGCAGCAUAGUCCGUUUUAACUUCUUAGAGGGACAUGUCCAGAAGUUUACGUGCUAGGAAGUUCGUUGCAGUUAAACAGGUCUGUGAUGCCCUUAGAAUUUCUGGCAUGGGCCGACACGCGUGCUUUCCCUGAAUGGGGAUUGAUUGUCUGUGUUGCCUUGGCCAUCUUUUUCUUUUCUUUAUAGGAAUUGAGUGCUUGGUCGGAAGGCCUGGCUAAUCCUUGGAACGCUCAUCGUGCUGGGGCUAGAUUUUUGCAAUUAUUAAUCUCCAACGAGGAAUUCCUAGUAAACGCAAGUCAUCAGCUUGCAUUGAAUACGUCCCUGCCCUUUGUACACACCGCCCGUCGCACCUACCGAUUGAACGGUCCGAUGAAACCAUGGGAUGUUUCUGUUUGGAUUAAUUUUUGGACAGAGGCAGAACUCGGGUGAAUCUUAUUGUUUAGAGGAAGGUGAAGUCGUAACAAGGUUUCCGUAGGUGAACCUGCGGAAGGAUCAUUAAUCU
This 1128-nucleotide ribosomal RNA is filed under the name Aurantiochytrium sp. MBTDCMFRIJMVL3. RNAcentral describes it as "partial 18S ribosomal RNA". It matches the Rfam family "Eukaryotic small subunit ribosomal RNA". The record is from RNAcentral. Lineage: Eukaryota; Bigyra; Thraustochytrida; Thraustochytriidae.